Molecule: ribosomal RNA, 496 nt
Filed under: uncultured bacterium
Lineage: Bacteria
Description: partial 16S ribosomal RNA
Rfam family: Bacterial small subunit ribosomal RNA
Source: RNAcentral
GAUGAACGCUGGCGGCGUGCCUAAUACAUGCGAGUCGAGCGAACAGAUGAGGAGCUUGCUCCUCUGACGUUAGCGGCGGGCGGGUGAGUAACACGUGGAUAACCUACCUAUAAGACUGGGAUAACUUCGGGAAACCGGAGCUAAUACCGGAUAAUAUAUUGAACCGCAUGGUUCAAUAGUGAAAGACGGUUUUGCUGUCACUUAUAGAUGGAUCCGCGCCGCAUUAGCUAGUUGGUAAGGUAACGGCUUACCAAGGCAACGAUGCGUAGCCGACCUGAGAGGGUGAUCGGCCACACUGGAACUGAGACACGGUCCAGACUCCUACGGGAGGCAGCAGUAGGGAAUCUUCCGCAAUGGGCGAAAGCCUGACGGAGCAACGCCGCGUGAGUGAUGAAGGUCUUCGGAUCGUAAAACUCUGUUAUUAGGGAAGAACAAAUGUGUAAGUAACUAUGCACGUCUUGACGGUACCUAAUCAGAAAGCCACGGCUAACUACGU